UACAGAGGUCUCAAGCGUUGUUCGGAUUCAUUGGGCGUAAAGGAUGCGUAGGCGGCGCGGUAAGUCGGGUGUGAAAUUUCGGAGCUUAACUCCGAAACUGCAUUCGAUACUGCCGUGCUUGAGGACUGGAGAGGAGACUGGAAUUUACGGUGUAGCGGUGAAAUGCGUAGAUAUCUGGAGGAACACCGGUGGCGAAGGCGGCAUCCUGGACCGGCAUUGACGCUGAGGAGCGAAAGCCAGGGGAGCAAACGUG
This 253-nucleotide ribosomal RNA is filed under the name uncultured bacterium. Its description in RNAcentral is "partial 16S ribosomal RNA". It matches the Rfam family "Bacterial small subunit ribosomal RNA", at positions 524 to 776 of the family's 1533-position model. The record is from RNAcentral.